Armigeres subalbatus is the source of this 1783-nucleotide long non-coding RNA. RefSeq lists it as uncharacterized. The record is from RefSeq and is a predicted model, not a curated record. The transcript is spliced from 4 exons. Lineage: Eukaryota; Metazoa; Arthropoda; Insecta; Diptera; Culicidae.
UAUGCGAAUUCCACGAAUACUAAAAACACUUUUUCUCGGUGUGAACCGUUCGCCGAAGGAGGAUCAGUGACCAAGAACGCGGAUACAAAAAAAGGGAAAAUCUGACGGAGGUGACAGUUGCGCUAACAGUAGUGUGAGUGUGGCAUCAGAACCUAACAUCGUUUUCACCACUACCGACAACCCGAGCAUUGGAGCCAAACAGUCGGUGAUUGUUUUGUGUCGGCGUCGAAAUCAGCAAAUUUUGGAAAGUGCAUCGAAAAGUGCAUCUGCGGAGGUCAACGAACUACCGAGUGUGAAGCCGUCGGUCAGCUGGUUGUAUUGUGUGCCGGUGGUGAACAAUAUUGAUUUGGUGCUGUUGGGUCGCAGAGCUGCUGCUGUUACGUGGAUAUUUUUUGAUCGAGUGCAACGAAGGAAAGCUUUUGUUUAUGGUGAAUGCUGCUGUGAGGAUUUUUUUUUGAGAAGUGCUUCGACGGAGAAAACUUUGAGCGGAUUUUGUUGCUGUGUGCUGUUUUCUUGACGAUUUGGAUUUGGAUUUGGUGGAGUGCAUUUGAUCUUGGAUCAUCGAGUGCAUUGUUUAAACAGCGCAGUGCCAGACUCUUAGACCGUUGACCGGCUGCAGAAUGAUACAGUGCGUGAGAAUAUGGACACAUUGAAUCUUCCGGUAUACAAUCCGAUCUGCUGCCGUCGGACAGGUGCCUCGAUCUUUUCCUGAAUACAUUCUAGGAACACUGCAUAGAGCCUGACCGGUGCGCCUGCUGAUACCGUCAGCGUUUCCGGAACGCUAUGAAUUGCGGAAAAAAACUGAUUCCUACCGAAUUAGCAGCACACGUAUUGGGAAUCUUUUUCGAAAGGGAAAAUAGGCCAGCCAGCAGUGUGAUCUCUUGGUAAACCAGCAGCAGCGGAUUCCCACUAAUCUACCUGGAGUUUCUGGAACGCAAUGGAAUGCACGAAGAGAAGGAUUUUUACCAAAUCAGGACACGCUGAACUUGUUCCGUAUACAUACAUCAUUUUCGAAGGGUGGUGGGGAACUUGGCGCAGACCUGUACCGUAGCAAUGCGCAUCGGAAGCAUAAGGAAACCGGAAGCAGCAGCUCUUGGCCCCCAUAACCGUCCAUGUAAUCAAUGAGAUGCGGAUGGUAAAAUCAUCAACAGAACUGGCAGGCAACAGCCGUGGAACCAGAUGUAAAUCAUCACCAUCCUACAUUCAUCGUGCAGCAAGCAGGAAUGCUGUCGGAUCAUAUUUUGCAUUACACACGCACAACAUAAAACGUGGCUUCUACUCUGUCAAAAAACAAUAUUGAGGGGAAAAUAUACAUAUUUAAAUAAAUAUCGUAGACGCCCCCGAAUGUCCCUGGUUGCUGUGGCAUCCUCAUCUUUGAUGGCUCAUUCUUUCUUCAGGUCUCAUCGGUAAUGCAUAGUUUUCUCUAUAGCUGAUGGGAAAAUGUCUGGUAGCAAAUAGCAAGCCUCGAUAAAAUUUACUAUAUUUCCGUAAACGCAUAAUAGUUGGAUUUAAAAAAAUAUCGAAUGACUAGGUAAAACCGUAACUGCUUCCAGACAUUGAACUGAAAUUCCGUUCUUAGCAAACCAUGAAACUUUGGUAACCAAUACCUUCUUCUUACUGGCAAUACACCCCCCACUGGGACAGAGCCGCCUCGCAGCUUAGUGUUCAUUAAGCACUUCCACAGUUAUUAGUGAGCUAGCUACCAAGCAAUCAAUGAACCAACCAACUAAUCAACCAAUCAAUUCACCAUUCAAGCAAUCAAUAAAACUAACCAACUAAUCAA